GGCAGGAGCGGCAGGGGUGCGCUGAUGGCUGCUCUGGGGGACGAGGUGCUGGACGCAUACAUGUACCCGGCGUGCGCCCUCUACUCGUACCCGUACCCCUACCCCUACCCGGCCGCCGCCAAGGGCAAGGGAGCGGCGGGCGGGGGAGGCUGGCGGCACCGGGACGGCGGCUACCCUCCAGUUUCCUCCUCCUCUGACGGCGCGGCCUCGUCGUCUUUCCCGGGCUACGGGCAGCUAGCGGCUGCCGAGUACUUCCACAGCUACCAGCGGGCGCAGCUCAUGGCCCUCCUGUCGCAGGUGGGCCCCGGCCUCGCCCCGCGGCCCGGCCGCGCCAGCAUUCGGGACGUGGCUGUGCAGGUGAACCCGCGCCGCGACGUCUCCGUGCAGUGCUCGCUGGGGCGGCGUACGCUGCUGCGCAGGGCCCGCGAGCCCGGCCCUGAGCCCGAGGGCGCGGCGGGCGCGGGCGGCAGCUGCCCGGCCUCCCCGGAGCUGGCCCGCCGGGGCCCCGAGCAGGGCAGCCCGCCGAGCGGCGCCCCGCGGCCCGUGCGCUUCCCGCGCACCGUGGCGGUGUACUCGCCCGUGGCUUCCCGCCGCCUUUCCACCCUCCUGGAAGGGGCCGAGACUGCGGCGGCCGAGCAGAGGCCCGGGGCGCCGGACGGAGAGCGAGGGCCUCCAGCUGCGAGGCCCCGAGGCCCCGAGGAGGGAGAGGGGUCGGCGAGGAAGGAUCCCCAACGGCCGCAGUCCGAGGAGGACGAGGCCCAGGCCGGCGUACCGGCGAGCAGGGAGCAGCCCCCGCCGGUGGCCGGCGCCCCGGACGCCGCGGGCGAGAGGUGGUCGCCGCGGAGCCCCCAGCCGGGCAAGGAGCGCCUGCGCUUCCAGUUCUUAGAACAGAAAUAUGGCUACUAUCACUGCAAGGACUGCAACAUCCGAUGGGAAAGUGCCUACGUGUGGUGUGUACAGGGCACUAACAAGGUUUACUACAAGCAGUUUUGCAGAACAUGUCAGAAGUCUUAUAACCCUUACCGAGUGGAGGAUAUCACCUGUCAAAAUUGUAAACAGACUAGAUGCUCCUGCCCAGUAAAAGUUCGCCACGUGGACCCCAAAAGGCCCCACCGUCAAGAUCUGUGUGGGAGAUGCAAAGGCAAACGCUUAUCCUGUGACAGCACUUUCAGUUUCAAAUAUAUCAUUUAAUUGAAUGUGAAAAACCAAAACACUGGUCCCGCCGAACGUGUGCUAGUGGAGCAGACAAUGUAGGUUAUGCUGGUGGAUGAGCAGUUCUCAUAGACCAAAAGGAGGUACACUCACUCUGGCUUUGGUGAGUCUGUUCCAAGAAAAUGUCUGACGAUUUCCUAAAUUUAAGAUGAUCUGUUGCUGCUACUGCGAUCUUUAAGGUCUGGGAUCUUUUAAGAUCGCUGGAUAUCUGCUGUCAGAUUUAUGAACAGGUCCUGAAAUAGUACAUCAUUUCAAAAACCAAUAAUGCUUAACUGGGGUGUGGGGGGGGGGAAAGAUUCACUAUAAGCGACUUUUCACUUCAUUGCUCCUGCAAGGAAAUAUGUAUGUAUGUAUUUUAAUUUCCUAGAAUCAGUUACUAGUGCCUAGUACAACUGAAUAUUUACCUCUGCUUCAUUUUUAAUUGUGUUUACUUGAUUGAUAAGUUUACAGUAGGCUUGGAACAGAAGCAGCAAUUGAAAAUGCAAUUUGUAUAACCUUCGGCAGAGCUCCAGUUCCUAGAAAUAAAUAACACUGUGUUAAAUUUAGGUGUUAUUUUCCAUAUUUGACUAGACAACAUAUUUCAAAUAAAAAUUUAUAAGUAAAUAAUUGUUAAAAUUUGUUCUGAGCUUAAUUUUUCUGCAGUAAGCAAGUUAAUAUGGUAUGAAGUUGAUGAAAGACAGAUGAAAGAUGCUCUGAAGACUGGGAUUAAAAUAAAAAUUUAAAGAUUAUUGGUUACAUAAUUCAUUUUUAGUGUGAAGCACAUUUUCACAUUAGACAAACAGAAUUUUUCAGCAGGCAAUAAAUAGAAUGCUUUAAAAAGAAUUCACUAGAACUUAAAACUUUAACUUCAUAACGAGAAGAAUUUACAAGUGCAUAUACUCUUGCCACACUGAGAUGUACAUCUCACUGCGUUUAUCAACAAGUGCUUGAUAAAGCAAAAAGUAAAACUCUGGAUAACCUCUCACCUAAAAAGUAAGAAUAGUUUGUCUUUAAAAUGAGUUCCUUUUUUUUUAAGAAAGCAAAUUUGUAAUCUCACUGAAACAAGACAAUGAAAUUAACAAAUGCACUUGGAUUCUUAAAAUUAAGAAAUAUAAAAGGAGACAUGUUAGAGAUGUGUAAAAAGGCAGCGCUAGUUGUACAGAUUAAUUAUAACACCUCAUUGUCUUUGUAGGACUGAAACAUUUCAUGGAUUAGGGCUAUGCAAAACUGAAGCACACACUACUCUUAAAGCAGUCCAUGACAAAACAUUGCUAGGUCACAAAUGGCAAAUGAAAACCAGUUUGUCUGACAUGGAUAAGUAGUCUAUAAAUUAAGACAGGUCACUUACUGCUAGAAUUUCCAUUUGCUAAGCAAGAAGGUGAUCGGGUCACAAAAAAUACAAAGGAAGAAAAAGACCAAGAAUUAGUGUAACAAAUCAUUUUAACUAGGGUCACAGAUGUCCCAGGCAAACUGAAGAACAUUUAAAAUUACACCCAAAAGAAAAAUUUAUGAUGCUAUUUCCAGAAUAAAACUUUUUAGACAUUUACUGUAACAAUCCAGGGUGUUUUUCACUCUUUGCCAAAUAACAGCUAAAUUACAUUUAGGCUAUAGUUUAUUUCUUGUGCAAAAGCUACAAGGAAUAAAACUAGUGGGAUAUUGGGAAAGUUGGCUACUGAAAGUGGUCUUCUAUCUGGGUUUUUAUAUAGCCUUUCCAAAAAAAAAAAAAAAGCCAAAUAAA
Molecule: RNA transcript, 2929 nt
Organism: Orcinus orca (killer whale)
Lineage: Eukaryota; Metazoa; Chordata; Mammalia; Artiodactyla; Delphinidae
Gene: ZAR1
Gene name: zygote arrest 1
Exons: 6
Source: RefSeq, a predicted model, not a curated record